UAUUCCCAGAUGUGAAAUUCAACACCUCUUCCAUAAACAUCAGCACCUACACUGCACAGAAACACAUAGCAGGAUUUGAAGAAGAUCUCAUGUAGCAUAAGGAGAGAGCUGAUGUCACAGUAACCACGUAACCUGAAAACUAAGGUAACAUGGAUCUCUCCCAGGAGUGAUGGAAUACAAAUACUGGCUCACCUGUGGCAUCAGAAGAAAAAUAGCACCUCUCUGAAAGCAGGUAUCAGAAGACACAUGAACCAAUGAUCACUUCCAACUACAUUCCUGUCUUAAGAGCUUCAGGGUACAUAGACAGUGGCAAACCCUUGACAGGACUGGAUUACUGUAUUUUCAUACAGGUACUAUUUUACCUCCAUCCAAGGUAAGUGAGGGCAAGCACAAUUCCUCAGAGCCUUCCUUAGUGAAGGGAAUCCAUUUUUCUACUAAUUCACUCAUAGACAGCAUAUCCCCUUAAUGUUUCUUGCAGUAUGUAGACUGAAGUAUGGCUUGC
This 502-nucleotide long non-coding RNA is filed under the name Homo sapiens (human). RNAcentral describes it as "HSALNT0070528". The record is from RNAcentral. Lineage: Eukaryota; Metazoa; Chordata; Mammalia; Primates; Hominidae.